GCUUCUAUUUUCUCGAGCAACUCUAUACUACUGUAUGUAGUAUUGUAUGUUUACAGGUACAGCUGUCGCUUCGUAUACAGAAAAAAUUUCUUUGUAUACGGCGGAUUUGUCGGCGUGCCCGGGGAACGAGACAUCCAGGGCGUGACAAAAUAUAUAUAAAAAAUAAAUUUAUAAAAUUUUAUCCAUUAGACUUUGAUCUAAUAGUUGAAACUUUACAUAUAAAUGAGUCUUUUUAUAAUUAAACUCGCAUUUAUAUUUUUAUUUUACUAAAAAUUAGAUAAUAAAAAUAUAUAUUAUAUAUAAUUAUUUAUUUAUAUAUAAAAAUAUAAAUUAAAUAAAUUAUAUAAAUAUAAAAUAUAUGUAUUUGAGCUGUUAUC
RNAcentral lists this long non-coding RNA (377 nucleotides) under Ananas comosus (pineapple). RNAcentral's name for it is "long non-coding RNA (ACOM_LNC026333)". The record is from RNAcentral. Lineage: Eukaryota; Viridiplantae; Streptophyta; Magnoliopsida; Poales; Bromeliaceae.